RNAcentral lists this unclassified non-coding RNA (773 nucleotides) under Neckeropsis fimbriata. RNAcentral's name for it is "sequence contains 18S rRNA gene, ITS1, 5.8S rRNA gene, ITS2". The stretch from base 326 to 478 matches the Rfam family "5.8S ribosomal RNA". The record is from RNAcentral. Lineage: Eukaryota; Viridiplantae; Streptophyta; Bryopsida; Hypnales; Neckeraceae.
UUGCACACACGAGUUGCAGCCAACCCGCGGCGAACGACCCCAUUGUCCCUCUCUCGGUGGGUCGCGGCGCCUCGCGGCGGCGCGGCCGGCCACCUCCCCUCGUCGCGAGCGAGCUCGCGAGCUCGCGGCGUGGGGGGUUUCCACGCGAUGCCUUCACCUUGAUCGAAUGAAUGCCUGAGUCCCUCGACUUCGUAGGAAUGGAAUGAGUGAGUUCCGUCCCCUUGGCCUUCGGCGCGGCUCGGCUUCGGCUGGCUUUGCGGCGGAUGGAGGGGGGUCGGCGCCGGUCAUGCACCUUGCGAGUUGUGAAUCGUAACCUUACAAAAACAACUCUCAGCAACGGAUAUCUUGGCUCUUGCAACGAUGAAGAACGCAGCGAAAUGCGAUACGUAUUGUGAAUUGCAGAAUUCCGCGAAUCAUCGAGUCUUUGAACGCAAGUUGCGCCCGAGGCUUGUCCGAGGGCAUUUCCGCUAGAGCGUCACCGCGCCCCCCACCGAUCCGCUCCCGCCAGCCGGGAGUGCAAGUGUCGAGUGGAAGUGGCCGUCCCGGCGGGCGGGCGCCUCGCGCCUCCAGCCAGGGUCGGCUGAAAUGGAGGGAAUCGGGCCGCCGUGGCGACACAGUCCGCGAUCGGGUGAUUUUCGGGCUCCUCCUCCGGCCGGGGAAGGGCCCGGGAUUUUUCUAAGUGCGUGGCUGCGUCGCCCAGUCGGCUGUGGGUUGUUACCUCAUGCGAUGCAGGUCGUGCGCGCCCGCGCGGCGCGCGUCACGCAUCAGACCUC